GUUGCACAAGCAGAAUUUAUACUCAAGAAAAUUGCUGUAGAUGUAGAUAUGAGUCACUAACUCAGACAUGAUUGCUCAAGUAGAGAAUUUCUUCAAGAGUCAGUGACUAAACAGAGUUAGACAAAGAAGAGUAAAAAGCUGAAGUCUUAAUCUUACGGCAUUCCUAUAUUUAAGAAGCCAGAGAAAGAAUCAAGAUCAAGGAAUAUCAGCAAGUCAUGGGAAAAUGAACCUGAGGCACAGAACAGGUGGAAAAGCUGCAAGAAAGGAUAAAAAAUAAGGAUUCAAUGCUGAGAAAGGAGAAUAUUCUACUAGACAGAACAAUGAUCAGAAUACUAGAGAUUACUCUAAAAGGUACUUAAACCUAGGAGUAAAUUUAACCAAGGAGGUGAAAGAACUGUACAUUGAAAACUAUAAGAUACUGUUGCAAGAAAUUGGAGAAGUCACAAAUAAGUAUAAAUAUAUUCUAUGUUCACAGAUUGGAAGAAUUAAUAUUGUCGAAGUGCCCAUAUUGUCUAAAGCAAUCUAUAGAUUC
This 532-nucleotide long non-coding RNA is filed under the name Ovis aries (sheep). RNAcentral describes it as "lncRNA (ENSOARG00000025591.1)". Lineage: Eukaryota; Metazoa; Chordata; Mammalia; Artiodactyla; Bovidae. The record is from RNAcentral.